RNAcentral lists this ribosomal RNA (119 nucleotides) under Pteropus alecto (black flying fox). Lineage: Eukaryota; Metazoa; Chordata; Mammalia; Chiroptera; Pteropodidae. The record is from RNAcentral.
GUCUAUGGUCAUGCCACCCUGAACGUGCCCAAUCUCGUCUGAUCUCGGAAGCUAAGUAGGGUUGGGCCUGGUUAGUUCUUGAAUGAGAGACCAGCUAGGAAUACCAGGUGCUGUAGGCA